This is an RNA transcript of Danio aesculapii, 4193 nucleotides long. RefSeq lists it as uncharacterized. The transcript has 3 exons. The record is from RefSeq and is a predicted model, not a curated record. Lineage: Eukaryota; Metazoa; Chordata; Actinopteri; Cypriniformes; Danionidae.
CUCAGGCAGCGUAGAAUCCUGGCUGUGUUUAAUUGUCGAGUGGCGAGAUCUAAAGGGAGAGAUCGGGAAUCACAUGGAGCCGCUGCGUCUGUCAGCGCUUUACGAGCCCCAGCCCCGACAGAGACGCGCAGAGAAGCCGUAGGAAGGAAGUGCUUGGGAGCGGGGAUUUUUUUUUUUACGCAGUGGAAGGUGUAGACAGAGGUGAAAGACUGUAGGAGAGUUGGAGAAGAAGAAGAAAAAAGGAAAAGAAAAGAGGCCCACCGUUUGGAGGAAAGGGCAAUAAGCAGGAAAAAAAAGUGGGAAAACUAGAGUUAGAAAAACGGGAGGAAGGAAGGGGGAGGUGAGAGAGAGAGACGGCAGAACAACAAAAAAAGUUUGGGAGUAGGGAAGUGCAAGAGAGAGAGGGAGACAGUUAUACGCAGAUGAGAAAAGCAGACGCAGGAAAGUGGAUGGAGCAAGGAAUUUUGGCUUUUUAGUUUUUGAGGUCGGGGAAUGCACUCGGAGGAUACAGCGACGGGAUUACGAACGCCUUCCUGCCACUUUUGCCUGCAGCAGGAAUCCAGACGCACUAUUGAGGGAUCAUGUCUGCGCAUGGAGCCCACAGUCGCACCGUUUCCAAAGGAGUUAUGGAUAGACGGAGCACACACAACUGGUGUUUAUCCACCAAAACAAGGUUACUCCGAGGAAAUACGACAUCCGUGUUACUCCAGAUGGGAUCCUCCAUGUGUGCAAGAAAUACAAAGGGAAUGCGGAUGCAUUCAGAGAUGGUAUUACCCUGAGAUUACAUAUCCCUACAAUGGUGAUCAUGUUUGGAAGGUUAGAGGUCAACACUAUUAUGGCCGUCUACCGGAAUGGGAGCAAUCCUAUAACACACAAUGCACAAGACGAAGGGUUUCUUUUAGGCAUCACCAAGAGGAGCGACCUGCGCUCAUCAGACAAUCGCUAUCAAGUCCUGGAAAACUGCACUGUAAUGGGACGACCUCCGAACAAGCGUUUUUCCCCACCGAAGUGCCCUCCAGUAAGUUAAUCCGCUCAGGACCGCAGCGGGACGUAAAAAAGACGGUUCAUGGUGGCGCAAAGAGUCUGGAGGGUCGAGGGAAUCAGAGGAAGAGCCAGGGCACCGUACGGGAACAGAUCAAACAAGUGGUCACUGAGCUGGAGGAAGUGCUGGGUGGUCUCAAACAGGUCCAGUUGGAGAUGAAAGAGGUCGUCCAACAAAUCGACGUUCUGACGUCCAACAUUGACCUCAGUGAAGAGCAACCAACGCCGUCCAAUGGACUCCCUCAAGAUGCCAUCAGAAGCAGCCGGACAGACGUUGUGGCUUUAAUACACAAUUCAAAUGGAGACGACAACGACACGUCAACAUCCAGUUCCUCUCUCACAUACAGCCCUUCGGAUUUACCUUACAUUAACAACCCUUCUCCAAUAAGAAACCAUUCAAACUCGUCCCCUACUAAGCAACAUGACAUUAAUAUUGAGGAUAAAUGCAGAAAACAGAGCUCAGAGACUCAAAGGACUCACAGGACGGCCAAUGGAAACUGCGUAGCAUAUCGGACGGCUAAAAAAGUCCAACUGGAUAAUCACAAACCCCCAAUAGUCCCAGUAGUGUGCACUAAUAACUCCAAUAAAACCCACCGGCCGCCACCUUAUCCUCAGAACGGACAGGUGAAGAUGAGGACGCCUCCUUAUCCCGGAAAACAUAAGACGCUGUCGUCCACUGUAGUGUAAGGACAACAAACUAACUCGCUAUACCAUUACUCAAAGAGGACAACACACUUACUGUCAAACAUCAUGCAUAUAACUCACAGAUUCAUGCACACACACUUAAUCCAUCACUGAGAAAAUCCUUAAUGGUGGUGAUACUCAGGGGACUGAUGCCACACAACCCAGCUGACUCACAGUGGAGGAAAACCGGGGCUGAUGGGCAGUGACUGUAUUUCCCAUGGAAAACUCCAGAAACAUCUCAAAAGCUUCAUUCACGCACACACGCACCUGCUGAAAACAAGUUUGGAGCAACUUAAAAGUCACCAUGUAAUGACAAUCAAAGUUUAUUUACUUGGAUGUAUUUCUGAUUGAAACAGGAAGUCAAUGAGGGAAUGUUUGUUCAAACGGGCACUAUCGCUUCCAGCACCCCAGCUUGAUCAGUUGGCAUUUCUGUGUGGAGUUUGCAUGUUCUCCCCGUGUUAGCGUGGGUUUCCUUCGGGUGCUCCGGUUUCCCCCACAGUACAAAUACAUGCUCUAUAGGGGGAUUGGAUGAACUAAAUUGGCCGUAGUGUAUGAGUGUGUCUGUGUGAAUGUGAGUGUGUAUGGUUGUUUCCCAGUACUGGGUUGCGGCUGAAAGGGCAUCUGCUGCGUAAAAAAUAUGCUGGAAUAGUUGGCGGUUCAUUCCGCUGUGGCAACCUCUGAAAAAGAGACUAACCGAAAGGAAAAAUAAAUGAAUGAAUGAAUGUUUGGUCAUAGGGGGCGGGAUUAAAAAGCAAAAUUAGUUAUGUCAGCAGAAAAGGAAAGUUGUUUUAGAGUUACAUUUUGAGGAAAUAUUAUGAACAUUUAUUUGCAUCACCAGCUAUGUUUCCAUCUGUCUGUUCUUAAUGCACAUUUUGGAAUAUCUUAUUAAAGAUGCUUAAAGGUGCAGUAUGUAAGUUUGACACCCAGUGGUUGAAGUAGGUAUUGCACUCCUGGAUCAAAACGCAAGCUCAGGUUGCCAGAUUGAGGACAGGAGCGAGUGAUUUAAAUCAUGUUCUAAAUAAAAGCAAAGGCACCCGAUAGAAGGAAUAUUCUCUAUAUUAAAAGGAGUUUUUGUCUCAACCAACACCUCGAAUUGAUAUAUUAGAAACGGCUUCUAUUUCUCACAGGUUAAAAACAGAAAACUGACAAAAAAAUGAUCACCUCAGGUAAACCUCAUGUGCUUUAUUCAGUUUUAAAUGCUAAUAAUGUGAGUGUGAAUGCCAUUUUACAUGACAUUUAUUGACAUAUACUGAAAGCAGCAGCAGAUAGUUCACCUCAGAUCUUGAAAAUAAAGUCAACUGUUUGAAAUUGAACUUUAGAGCAAAACACGUGAUUGAGCAUGUACAUUUAAUAAUGUUAAAGAGGUUUAAUAUGUAUUAAUUAGAUUAUAAACCUUACCAUUUAGUGAGAGAGUGCAUAUUCUGUGCUUCUGAAUGGCUGUAUUUAAAUUUCUGUCAUGUUUCGUCUGGUGCAAACAGCCAAAUUGCUGAUCACUGCAAAUCUCAUCAUGUAUGUUGUUAGGAUACGGAGUUACAAUGUAACCUGCUGUUUAUGUUCAUAAUAUUUAUAUUAUUUGCUAAUUAAUAACCUCAUGAGGAACUGAAUCUGCUUCUCAUGUCAGAGUCUGCUGCUGUCCACUGGAGGUCGCAUUUCGGUCAAGGACGCAUGCUUUAAGAGCCUUUCUGAAUGAAUGAAAUACACUGUUCUACAAGGGCAACCCGGGGUGCUGAAAUAUAAUUGGCUAAACUGUCAUUGGGCAGGUUAAAAUGACCAAAACAAAAGCAGCGUUCAGGCACGGGAAAACACAUUUACAAAGCAGAAUAUCUGACUUCAGCAGUGUUUUUCAGAUAAACAAGAAUGUUCACUUGGCAUGUUUCUUAAAUAUCUGCAAACAUAUCAUGGUGGUUUUAUGCUUUAGAAGAGUCAGAAACUUACAUACGGCACCUUUAAUGGAAACGAUAUGAAGCGCAUAAGAAACGUAAAAGCAUACAGCUGAGUAGGAUAAACUAUAUCCUAUAAACUUUAUCCUAAAAGAAAAAAGGUGCAUAAAUUACAGUAGACAUACAUUUACUGAAAAAAAUUCCAGAAUGCGCAUCAAAAAGCAACUGAGCAUUCAUUUCAUUCGGUUUUUGUCUUCUGUAGUAUUAUAAUAAACAAUAUUAUCUAAUUCUAUAAGAAAAAAGGCCCACAGUGAAGUAGUAAAAUACAGCUACUGAAUUUUAAACAACCAACACUCAAAAAAAAUGCUGUUUUGGGUCAAAUAUGGCUCAACAACAACUGGGUUAAAAAUUGUGAUUUUUAUUUAAUUGGAAUAACUAAUCCAAUAUUUGGUUCAUACAUACUCUAUAUCAGGUGUUCCCAAACCUUUCAGCCCGCGACCCCCAAAAUAACAAUGCCAGUGACUCGCGACCCCCAUUAUCUUCUGAGGUGGUUAUAAAUGCAGAAACGUUGCAUGCAAUGGCGCGCAC